AUUUUCCCUUACUGGAAAUGACGUCAUAUUUUCUGAAGCCUCUCAUUCGAAAAAAUGGCGGAAGAACUCAACCGACUUCGUCUACAAAUAAUAAGCUUCGUUCCGCCUUUCCUCAAGACCUUAUGUAACCAUGAUCCUGGAGGCAGAACUUCCCACACUAUAAAAGCUGGUUGAACUUCAGGCUCGUCCUCUUUACCUCUCGCUUCAGAGACCAGGUACAGAUCCAGAUCAUUUGCAGGAGCAAGUGUUGUCCAGGCAUCCUCAAGUGGACCAUUCUAUUCAAAAUCCUCGAUUGCUUGCUCAAUGGGUUGCAGGGAACCUGGAGCCUAGCCCAGGGAGCAUGGGGCACAAGGUGUCACCCUGGACAGGGUGCCAAUACAACCCAGGGCACAAUCACAUAUACACCCAUUCAUACACUACAGACACUUUGGACAUGCCAAUAAGCCUACCAUGCUUUCGACUGGGGGAGGAAACUGGAAUACUCGGUGGAAACCCCCUGCAGCACGGGGAGAACAUGCAGACUCCGCACACACAGGGCUGUGGCGGGAAUCUAACGUGUUAGGCAAACGUGCAAACCACUAAGCCACCGUGUGCCUUGCAAAAUGAGUUGUACCAAUAAAUUUGAUUGUGUUGCUCAAUAAAAAAAAAAA
This is a long non-coding RNA of Ictalurus punctatus (channel catfish), 650 nucleotides long. RefSeq lists it as uncharacterized. Lineage: Eukaryota; Metazoa; Chordata; Actinopteri; Siluriformes; Ictaluridae. The transcript has 4 exons. The record is from RefSeq and is a predicted model, not a curated record.